UAUGUGUGAAAAGUUGCAGCACUAUUCCAUGCCAUAGUUGUGCACCAAACACAUCUGUUAGCUUACAUUUUUCUUAAAACUAAAAUUCUUGAAUCCAGUAAUUUCAGAACAUACUGAAUGAAACUCUGACCAUGGAGACCAAGAAAAAACAUCUCAAGAAAUAUGCCAUUCUCUUUCCAAGGCUUCUAGCAUUGAUCGCGACUUUUUUGGCUGCCAUUAUCACAGCUACGAGCCAUGAAAAAGCUAGGAUCUUCACCAUCUCUUUCGAAGCCAAGUACAGUGAUUCACCAGCUUUAAAGUACUUUGUAAUUGCAAAUGUAAUUGCAAGCAUCUACGGUCUCCUGCUGCUGUUUCUACCUCUAGACAACUCUUUCUGGCGAUUCAUUGUAGUCCCUGACGUCGUUGUGAUAAUGUUACUGAGUACAAGCAUAUCAGCAGCAUUAGCCAUAGCACAUGUGGGGAAAAAAGGGAAUUAUCAUGCUGGUUGGUUACCGAUAUGUGGUCAGUUUCACAAGUACUGUGACCAAGUUACUGCAGGUUUGGCUGCUGGUUUUGUAGGAAUUGUCGUGUAUUUACUGCUUGUGUUGUAUUCUUUUUACUCCCUCUUUCACCAUUCCUUACAUAUAUAAUCAUCUUUAAAUUCGGCAAAGGGGGCUAUCUUCUCACAUGUAAUGUAACACAGUAGCAACUGAAUCAGCAUUAUUAUUUUUUAGUUUAUAUUUUUUAGAUCUAUGGGUUGAUUAUGAUUUUGUGAUGAAUGUGGAGUUUAUAACUUGAGCAUCAGCGGCCACAUAUUUUUACUGACUUGUAACAAGAAUUCAGCACCAAGGAUCACAAAGCAUCCGGUAUUCGAGGAUGUCAUGACCAAGGUUCCCAUUCA
Molecule: RNA transcript, 880 nt
Organism: Daucus carota subsp. sativus
Lineage: Eukaryota; Viridiplantae; Streptophyta; Magnoliopsida; Apiales; Apiaceae
Exons: 3
Source: RefSeq, a predicted model, not a curated record